This 518-nucleotide unclassified non-coding RNA is filed under the name uncultured Glomus. RNAcentral describes it as "SSU rRNA". It matches the Rfam family "Eukaryotic small subunit ribosomal RNA", at positions 569 to 1093 of the family's 1831-position model. Lineage: Eukaryota; Fungi; Glomeromycota; Glomeromycetes; Glomerales; Glomeraceae. The record is from RNAcentral.
AGCAGCCGCGGUAAUUCCAGCUCCAAUAGCGUAUAUUAAAGUUGUUGCAGUUAAAAGCUCGUAGUUGAAUUUCGGGAUUAAUAUGUUGGUCGUGCCUUGGUACGUACUGGCAUUAUUGAUUCCUACCUUCUGAAGAACCUCGAUGUCAUUAAUUUGGUGUCUUGGGGAAUCAGGACCGUUACUUUGAAAAAUUAGAGUGUUUAAAGCAGGCUCGCGCUUGAAUACAUUAGCAUGGAAUAAUGAAAUAGGACGUUUGAUUCUAUUUUGUUGGUUUCUAGGAUCGACGUAAUGAUUAAUAGGGAUAGUUGGGGGCAUUAGUAUUCAAUUGUCAGAGGUGAAAUUCUUGGAUUUAUUGAAGACUGACUACUGCGAAAGCAUUUGCCAAGGAUGUUUUCAUUAAUCAAGAACGAAAGUUAGGGAUCGAAGACGAUCAGAUACCGUCGUAGUCUUAACCAUAAACUAUGCCGACUAGGGAUCGGAUGAUGUUAAUUUUUAAUGACUCAUUCGGCGCCUUAACC